Lycium barbarum (goji berry) is the source of this 715-nucleotide long non-coding RNA. RefSeq lists it as uncharacterized. The record is from RefSeq and is a predicted model, not a curated record. The transcript has 3 exons. NCBI's taxonomy places the organism in Eukaryota, Viridiplantae, Streptophyta, Magnoliopsida, Solanales, Solanaceae.
CCAGGUGACGUCGGAAUAAGGAGAUAUGGACGUUUUAAGGCAGAAAGGUCAGUGGGCUAGGCCCAAUCCGAACCCAACCGGGUUAGGCCCAUUACCCAUGUCCUUAUAAGUGCCAAUUUCGGCAUUCCUCCUCAUUUUAACACCAGGAACAUCCAGAAAAUUCUGGGGAGAGAGAGAAAAAGAGUUUUGGAGAAGAAAAAACCAAUUUUCAUCGAAAUCUGAGCCCCGAAUCCCGAAGCCCAUGAAGGGAAAAAUGUUGUACGCUGCGUUGUCUUCAAUUUGAGCUAAAAAUCAACCAAGGAGGAGAGUGAUAACGUGGUGGCUGAAUGCUUAAGAUUUUGGGCGAAACGGAAAUUGAAUUUGAGCGAGCGUAAGGCGCAGCUAAGGUACUCCCAGGUGAGUUGAAGACAGUAUAGAAGAUGUUCCACUGCAGAUGGCAAGCUCCAUUUGUUCCCGGAGUGCUGCCGAGUCAGAGUUUGUAUGUUAUGCUUUCGGGAUUACGUUAGAGACUUUGCAGACAGCGUCGUGGGUAUUGGUUGUCAAUUUGUAAGCGGCUCCGUCAGCCGAUGUGUCGGUUUGUGUUAUGUACUGAAUUUUGUAUGAUCAUAGAUUUGUUCGGCUUAGAAGCUACGAGAAAGAAUAUUUCAAAAAAUUUACUAUGUAUUUUACCUUGUUUGAUUUAAAAAGUUUGAUGUGAUUUUAUGUGCAGCAAGAG